GCUUUCCCCUGAGGCUCUCUCUGAGGAUCUUGGAUUUGCUUCUGGAAGCUUAGCUCUGGAGAAGAGCAGCAUUCAGGACAAGCGAACAGGUCUGAAGGACACACCAACUCAGGAAGACUGGCUGGUGAGUGUGCUUCCUGAAGGAUCCAGGGUUGGUGUGGACCCCUUGAUCAUUCCUACAGAUUAUUGGAAGAAAAUGGCCAAAGUUCUGAGAAGUGCCGGCCACCACCUCAUUCCUGUCAAGGAGAACCUCGUUGACAAAAUCUGGACAGACCGUCCUGAGCGCCCUUGCAAGCCUCUCCUCACACUGGGCCUGGAUUACACAGGCAUCUCCUGGAAGGACAAGGUUGCAGACCUUCGGUUGAAAAUGGCUGAGAGGAACGUCAUGUGGUUUGUGGUCACUGCCUUGGAUGAGAUUGCGUGGCUAUUUAAUCUCCGAGGAUCAGAUGUGGAGCACAAUCCAGUAUUUUUCUCCUACGCAAUCAUAGGACUAGAGACGAUCAUGCUCUUCAUUGAUGGUGACCGCAUAGACGCCCCCAGUGUGAA
Molecule: small RNA, 546 nt
Filed under: Pan troglodytes (chimpanzee)
Lineage: Eukaryota; Metazoa; Chordata; Mammalia; Primates; Hominidae
Description: processed transcript
Source: RNAcentral